RNAcentral lists this small nucleolar RNA (107 nucleotides) under Oryza sativa Japonica Group (Japanese rice). RNAcentral describes it as "Plant small nucleolar RNA R71". It matches the Rfam family "Plant small nucleolar RNA R71". From Rfam's summary of the family: R71 is a member of the C/D box family of snoRNAs containing the C (UGAUGA) and D (CUGA) box motifs. Multiple nearly identical copies of this snoRNA have been identified in Arabidopsis, and it is thought to function as a 2'-O-ribose methylation guide for 18S ribosomal RNA. Lineage: Eukaryota; Viridiplantae; Streptophyta; Magnoliopsida; Poales; Poaceae. The record is from Rfam by way of RNAcentral.
AUCCCAUGAUGAGGACAGGCGGCCACAUACUCCUGAAGUCGUUCCCACGCCUCAGGAAUGGACUCGUCCCUUGUCUGCUGGAAACUCAAAAUUCUUCCGUGAAGGGC